This 460-nucleotide ribosomal RNA is filed under the name uncultured bacterium. Its description in RNAcentral is "partial 16S ribosomal RNA". It matches the Rfam family "Bacterial small subunit ribosomal RNA", at positions 338 to 795 of the family's 1533-position model. The record is from RNAcentral.
CCUACGGGAGGCAGCAGUGAGGAAUAUUGGUCAAUGGGCUUACGCCUGAACCAGCCAAGUCGCGUGAGGGAAGACUGCCCUACGGGUUAUAAACUUCUUUUAUAAAGGAAUAAAGUGAGGCACGUGUGCCUUUUUGUAUGUACUUUAUGAAUAAGGAUCGGCUAACUCCGUGCCAGCAGCCGCGGUAAUACGGAGGAUCCGAGCGUUAUCCGGAUUUAUUGGGUUUAAAGGGAGCGUAGAUGGGUUGUUAAGUCAGUUGGGAAAGUUUGCGGCUCAACCGUAAAAUUGCAAUUGAUACUGGCAGCCUUGAGUACAGUUGAGGUAGGCGGAAUUCGUGGUGUAGCGGUGAAAUGCUUAGAUAUCACGAAGAACUCCGAUUGCGAAGGCAGCCUACUAAACUGCCACUGACAUUGAUGCUCGAAAGUGUGGGUAUCAAACAGGAUUAGAUACCCGUGUAGUC